Molecule: transfer RNA, 71 nt
Filed under: Trichonephila clavata
Lineage: Eukaryota; Metazoa; Arthropoda; Arachnida; Araneae; Nephilidae
Description: tRNA-Asp
Rfam family: tRNA
About the family: Transfer RNA (tRNA) molecules are approximately 80 nucleotides in length. Their secondary structure includes four short double-helical elements and three loops (D, anti-codon, and T loops).
Source: RNAcentral
UCCUCGGUAGUAUAGUGGUCAGUAUCCCCGCCUGUCACGCGGGAGACCGGGUUCGAUUCCCGCGGGAGUAA